This 503-nucleotide ribosomal RNA is filed under the name uncultured bacterium. Its description in RNAcentral is "bacterial SSU rRNA". It matches the Rfam family "Bacterial small subunit ribosomal RNA", at positions 791 to 1294 of the family's 1533-position model. The record is from RNAcentral.
UAGUCCACGCCGUAAACGAUGUCUACUAGCCGUUGGGGUACUUGAGACCUUAGUGGCGCAGCUAACGCACUAAGUAGACCGCCUGGGGAGUACGGCCGCAAGGUUAAAACUCAAAUGAAUUGACGGGGGCCCGCACAAGCGGUGGAGCAUGUGGUUUAAUUCGAUGCAACGCGAAGAACCUUACCAGGUCUUGACAUCCAGAGAACUUUCCAGAGAUGGAUUGGUGCCUUCGGGAGCUCUGUGACAGGUGCUGCAUGGCUGUCGUCAGCUCGUGUCGUGAGAUGUUGGGUUAAGUCCCGUAACGAGCGCAACCCUUGUCCUUAGUUGCCAGCGCGUAAUGGCGGGAACUCUAAGGAGACUGCCGGUGGCAAGCCGGAGGAAGGCGGGGAUGACGUCAAGUCCUCAUGGCCCUUAUGGGCUGGGCUACACACGUGCUACAAUGGCGACUACAGUGGGCAGCGAACUCGCGAGGGUGAGCUAAUCUCUAAAAGUCGUCUCAGUUC